This is a long non-coding RNA of Alligator sinensis (Chinese alligator), 2149 nucleotides long. RefSeq lists it as uncharacterized. The record is from RefSeq and is a predicted model, not a curated record. NCBI's taxonomy places the organism in Eukaryota, Metazoa, Chordata, Crocodylia, Alligatoridae. The transcript is spliced from 3 exons.
CCAUCCCCACCACCACCCUGCGCUGUGCUGCUGCCACUGGCCGCACAGCUAAGUGUGGCUCCGUGGCGGCAGUGGGAGGUUUUGGAGGCAGAGGCAGUCACCGCUGGCACGGUAAUAUGCGAUUUCACUGUACGCGAUUUUCGUAACCCCCGCGUAAGAUGCGGGAUGCCUGUAAUUACUUCGUAUUUUAUGCACCUUCCUUGUCACAGCAGUAAAGGGAAGCAAGUGUGGAGGUAUUCCAGCAUCUUCUGACACGGGAAGCCUGGUGAACUUGUUUGCCUUUUGCUUUCCUCCCCUCCUUUCACAGCGCCCCCCCCAAUACAUCACCUGACACCAUCAUCUCUGCUCAAAGACAUUGUAUGGGACAGUGGUUCAUAAUAAACAAAAAGGUCACAGAUGUCUCUGCUAGAGGGACAGUCCACCAAGGAGCCAAAAAACCUAAGUCUCUAAGAGCUUUCCCAAUAGCAGAAAGUUUUAAGAUUCAGGCAUCUCUAAGGUGUUGUAGAACAACUGUCAUCCAUCCAUCUUUACACUGAACUACUACAAAUUCUGGUUUUCCUAUAUAAGAAUUUAAUAGGUAAGACUGUGCUGACCUGCAGGGAUUCAUAUUUUGAAGCUAUUUCCAGGAAAGCAAGUUCAUCACUAGAGUGAUUCAGUUUGGUGAUACCAUCCACCCCCAAUUUCAGGUAGGAUUUUACCUUCAUGUUCUGGCCAUGGUCAGCAGCCUGAGUCACAUCUGGGAGCGCACAGAAUUUGGUCAGAGUUAGAAAGGCUUUUAAGCUUCAACUUCCCGAAGAGACUGCAAUUGAAUUAGUUCCUUGAGAUUUGUCUCCCCCUGAUAGAGUUGGAAAAUGAAAGCUAUAUAUCGGUAAUAAGUUUAAAAAAGCUGAUGCCCAAACAUCAGAGCAAAGCAGAUUUUCCCUGGGCUGGGCAGAAGAGCACCUUUUGCAUCAGGGUAAUGCACACAAAAAGAUCAGUAGAGGUGAUAGAAGACAAAGUUGUUGACAGGAUACCAACACACUCAGCCAAGGCUUUACUCGGGGAUACAGGCUAUUCCAAGUUGUAUUGCUUCCAUCUGGCCAAAUGCAAAACAGAGCUGAGGCCCCUUGCCAGAAAAGCAGAUGAAAGGUCAUUGAGAACAUGAAUGACAGAAUGCUUCACUGCCUCAUUUUACCUGAUGUGUUAACACCUCCCCCAUCUUUCCCCCCAAAUAAAGCAGAAGAUUAAUAUGGAGAAAUAUCAUUACAAAGAUAGUUCAGGAGCUCAUCUUUUGUCUCCAUCUUAAUUGCCUAGAAAGCAUCUGUAUUGGCUAUAACUGGGUCAAAUUCUGGGUUACUAAGGAUGUUCAGCAAUUAAAACAAUAAUCCCAAAUAUGUCCAGGGCAUAGGUCAGAAUGCAGAAUGGGAACAAUGCUAACUGUCCUUCCUAAAAGUAACAUCUUAGAUCCUAUAUCAAGAUAUUUAUACUAUUGCAUCUGUAAGGCUCAUGUAUGUAAAAUUAAUUAUCUUAAAUCUUACUAUUCUAAUACAUUUUUUUUCUCACAGCUCUGGAAGUGCUUAUCCCUUUAUGAUACUUUGGCAUCAUCCUUCCACCCCACAUGCCAAUCUGAUCUGCCCCUAUGAUUAUGGAAAGAAUGAGACUGCUGGGGGUGUAACUUGAUGCAAGAAGCCAGUCAACACUGCAAAGCUGCCUUGAUUUGUGAUGUGUACAAAUCUUGCUUUUAUGCAAAUUCUGUUGUAAACAUCUGCAGGUUUUUUUGUUCAGGAAGAAAGGACUUUCAAAGAAUGAACAAACAGUGAUUCAAGUCAUCUUUCUCAUUCCUCCUGCAAGAAUAUACCCUGUCUACGUAUAGUAUCUGACACCACCUGCCCAUAACAGUUGCAGAUCAUAUUAGAGUGAAUCAUGGUCUAGCAAUGGCUUGUCAUUGUUUAUUAUUUUGUACUUCAGAUGGUAGGUUUCUAGGCCAAAAGAGCGCUUUAUUAAUCUCAAAAAGGGAAAUUUGAGAACUGGGCUGAAGUGCUCACAAUAAGCAGCCCUGUUUCAGAUCACAUGAACUGACCCCCAUCUGUCCUUCAUAGCAUUUGGUAGACAUAAAAGCUGCUUUAAAUAAUAAUUAGUAUUUUGUUUUUAUUUUGGACUGAACUGUGUG